CCAUUAAACACACUUUAAAGAGAUAAUUAUUUAUAUUUUUAUAUAUUUUGUUAAUGUUUUUUUUUUUUUUUUUACAUAUAUAGUAUGUACAUAUGCAAAACCGUAAAAUUCUCCCUUCCAAAAUCAUUUAUAUGAGUGACUUAAAUUUUUUGAUUUUGGUAUUUUAGAGUUUGUACCGUCUAAACGAUAACUAAUACAAUAAUCGAUUUCUGACAUUAAUUCAUUUAACAUUUCAUCGUUUUCUAUUUUGGUAUACCAUAUUUCAAUUCUUAAAAAACCGAAUUUUGUACUUUGUAAUUUAUCUACCAACCUAACUCCUGUUAUUAAAUUGUAAUGUUUUAAACUACAACCUACUAUUGCAAGAACGAUGUUAUUCCAGAAUUCAUCUACUUGAGUAUAUGGAAAGUCUUUAGGUAAUAUUUUAUAUUCUACAUGACCACCAUAUUGAUUAGCUUCAUCUUCCCACAUUGGUUCAAUAUUAGAUCUAAAAAUCAUAAGAGCAUCAAUAACACGUACCGUUCCAUUUUCUAACACUCUUGACAUAUGACCUUGAGCUAAUAAAUCACUUGGUUGUGGUAACCUAUUCCAAAGUUCCCAGAACUCUUGGACACUACUAAACCGUGACAAUUCUUUUGUAUAAUCUUUAUAAUGAGCAUACUGUUUUAUUCUAUUAUCAGAUACUUGCUCCCAAAUUACCCAUGUAUAUUCCAACGGAAGUGGUUUUGCUAUAUCUAUAUUAGUUGCUUCUAAUAAUUCAUUUAAAUCUAAGGUAUGUUUGCUUGAUUUACUAAAACUUAAAUACUUCAUUUUGGUUUUAAAAAAUAUAUCGUUUUGGUUUUUUGCCUUGUUUGUUACCUUGUUUGUUGCCUUGUUUGUUACCUUGUUUUUUGCCUCGUUUUUUGCCUUGUUUUUUGCCUUGUUUGUUGCUUUGUUUUUUGCUUUGUUUUUUUGUUUUGUUUUAUUUUUUUGUUUUUUUUUUUGUUUUUUUUUUUUAUUUUAUUUUUUUGUUUUUUUUUUNNNNNNNNNNAAAUAGGUAAAUUUAUAUUAUGUUAUGCUUGCCAUUGCUUUAUUUUAUGCAGCAUUUUUUUUUUAUUUAUUUGUUAUAUAUAUAUAUAUAUAUAUAUAUGUGUGUAUAUAUGUAUAUAUCACAACUUUAGAUAUUACAAAGAAUCUUUGGAAGAUUUAAAUCAGAAGAUUCAAAGAGAAUAUAAAAAUUAUGAACGAAUACAACUAGAAAAAGAAUAUACUAAGAAAAAAAAAAAAGUAGAAAAUAUUUUAAAAAAUAUAAUAAGUGCUGCGUUUAAAAUAACAAAGGUUAGGAGAUUGGAUUAUGGUGAAAAUUAUUUUUAUGACAAUUUGUUUUAUUUAGAAAGGCUUUUUUUUAUUAAAAAAAUAAAAAAUAUAAACGAAUUUGUUCAAAACAGUAUUUUUAUAAAUAAAACAAAUAAUGCCAUUAAUAACUACCACAACUUUAAAAAAANNNNNNNNNNUUUUUAUCAGUUUUUAUAUUUAUUAAACUAUUUGGGUCUGUUUCAUUUAUGUUAUCGGUGUCAUUUUUAUUAGUAGUUAUAUUAUGACUAUUUAUUAAAGCUGAGUUAGUCCCGUCAUUUCCUCUUUUUAAUAAGCUGUAAGCAUUAGUAAGUUCAUAUUCAUUAACAAGCGUAACUAACAACACUAUUGCUAUCUUUAACAUGUACAUUUUGUUUAAAAAAAAAAAAAAAAGAGAGAAAACAAAAAAAAAAGAUAAAACAAAAAGAAAAAGGAGAAAACAGCAAGCAAGAGGAAAAUAAGGCGUUUUGUAUCGCUUAUAUAUUUUUAUAUAUAGGAAAAACUAUGAAAAUAUAUUAGCGUAACCAGUUUGUUUUAUUCUUUUAUUUUUCUCACUCUUUAAUAAAAA
This is a long non-coding RNA of Piliocolobus tephrosceles (Ugandan red Colobus), 1897 nucleotides long. NCBI's taxonomy places the organism in Eukaryota, Metazoa, Chordata, Mammalia, Primates, Cercopithecidae. The record is from Ensembl.